Unclassified non-coding RNA from Ursus americanus (American black bear), 157 nucleotides. The record is from Ensembl. NCBI's taxonomy places the organism in Eukaryota, Metazoa, Chordata, Mammalia, Carnivora, Ursidae.
UAGUGAAAUGCUCCCAUCGUAUUCUAUUGAGUGAGCAGAUGAUAAGCCUAUUCUCUCAGGAAACUCCAUCUUAUCUUGAGAUAGAUCCUUCCCCUUCCCCUGUGCUCCGGUCCACAAGGGUCUCUCUCCCUAACAGAGGUCUCUGUCUCCUUUCAAC